UACGAGGGGAGCAAGCGUUGUUCGGAUUUACUGGGCGUAAAGGGCGCGUAGGCGGUCGUGACAAGUCACUUGUGAAAUCUCCGGGCUUAACUCGGAACGGUCAAGUGAUACUGUCGGACUAGAGUACAGAAGGGGCAACUGGAAUUCUCGGUGUAGCGGUGAAAUGCGUAGAUAUCGAGAGGAACACCUGCGGCGAAGGCGGGUUGCUGGGCUGAUACUGACGCUGAUGCGCGAAAGCGUGGGGAGCAAACAGG
This 254-nucleotide ribosomal RNA is filed under the name uncultured bacterium. RNAcentral describes it as "partial 16S ribosomal RNA". It matches the Rfam family "Bacterial small subunit ribosomal RNA", at positions 524 to 776 of the family's 1533-position model. The record is from RNAcentral.